AAACAUUCGCUCGAUUAUCGGGAUCGCUGUCGAUGCGCGGUCAGUGCGCCGCGCUCGCCUCGCCUCGCACUAUUUAUAUCGGAAAGAGUGAGCCGCGUUUCGACACUUCACGUAUGUAUACGACAUCGUCUACCACAUAUGCAAAGACAGCCAGUGUACAAAAACUAAGAAAGUGGAUUUGAUUCGCUAUAACUCUUUGAUUUACUGGAGGGCUAUGGUCAUUUGAAUGAAGCGAUAAAAUGGAAAGGGCCUAAUGGGAAUAGAAGAAAAGGACGACCUGUGAAACGAUGAAGUGAUGAUAUAUAGUCAUUGCUGGAAAAGAAUGGAUGAAAUGGAGCUAAGAACAAAGAAAAUUGGAUUAAGCUGGAGGAGGCCUAUACCCAAACAGGAGUUCCAAUCGAAGAAAAAGUUUGAUGUACGCAAAUCAAACAAACAAAAAUAAAGAUAAUAAUCUAAUAUAAAAAAGUGUAAAAUUGAAAAUAGAUUAAAAUGUAAAAAUAUAUACUUAAGAAUAUUUACAUGUAAUACUUAGGUGAUAGGAAAUAAAAGGCUUUAUUAUUAUUAUUCUA
This is a long non-coding RNA of Bombyx mori (domestic silkworm), 569 nucleotides long. RefSeq lists it as uncharacterized. The transcript has 2 exons. The record is from RefSeq and is a predicted model, not a curated record. NCBI's taxonomy places the organism in Eukaryota, Metazoa, Arthropoda, Insecta, Lepidoptera, Bombycidae.